Molecule: transfer RNA, 72 nt
Organism: Ovis aries (sheep)
Lineage: Eukaryota; Metazoa; Chordata; Mammalia; Artiodactyla; Bovidae
Rfam family: tRNA
About the family: Transfer RNA (tRNA) molecules are approximately 80 nucleotides in length. Their secondary structure includes four short double-helical elements and three loops (D, anti-codon, and T loops).
Source: Rfam
UCCCUGGUGGCUCAGAUGGUAAAGCAUCUGCCUACAAUGCAGGAGACCUGGGUUUGAUCCCUGGGUUGGGAA